AUCCCUACGGGGCGCAGCAGUAGGGAAUCUUCCACAAUGGACGAAAGUCUGAUGGAGCAACGCCGCGUGAGUGAAGAAGGGUUUCGGCUCGUAAAGCUCUGUUGGUAGUGAAGAAAGAUAGAGGUAGUAACUGGCCUUUAUUCGACGGUAAUUACUUAGAAAGUCACGGCUAACUACGUGCCAGCAGCCGCGGUAAUACGUAGGUGGCAAGCGUUGUCCGGGUUUAUUGGGCGUAAAGCGAGUGCAGGCGGUUUAAUAA
Molecule: ribosomal RNA, 259 nt
Filed under: uncultured bacterium
Lineage: Bacteria
Description: partial 16S ribosomal RNA
Rfam family: Bacterial small subunit ribosomal RNA
Source: RNAcentral